CAAGCGGUUAAGACACCGCCCUUUCACGGCGGUAACACGGGUUCGAAUCCCGUACGGGUCA
Molecule: transfer RNA, 61 nt
Filed under: Halalkalibacter hemicellulosilyticusJCM 9152
Lineage: Bacteria; Bacillati; Bacillota; Bacilli; Caryophanales; Bacillaceae
Description: Bacillus hemicellulosilyticus JCM 9152 tRNA
Rfam family: tRNA
About the family: Transfer RNA (tRNA) molecules are approximately 80 nucleotides in length. Their secondary structure includes four short double-helical elements and three loops (D, anti-codon, and T loops).
Source: Rfam by way of RNAcentral